Molecule: ribosomal RNA, 267 nt
Filed under: uncultured bacterium
Lineage: Bacteria
Description: partial 16S ribosomal RNA
Rfam family: Bacterial small subunit ribosomal RNA
Source: RNAcentral
CGACCGGCGCACGGGUGAGUAACACGUAUGCAACCUGGCCGUCACAGGUGGAUAACCGGAAGAAAUUCCGACUAAUACAGCAUAACACUCCUGAGGGACGAUCCUUCGGGAGUCAAAGGAGGCAACUCCGGUGACGGAUGGGCAUGCGGCGCAUUAGGUAGUUGGUAGGGUUACGGCCUACCAAGCCGACGAUGCGUAGGGGUUCUGAGAGGAAGGUCCCCCACAUUGGAACUGAGACACGGUCCAAACUCCUACGGGAGGCAGCAG